This 292-nucleotide ribosomal RNA is filed under the name uncultured bacterium. RNAcentral's name for it is "partial 16S ribosomal RNA". RNAcentral also lists the same sequence under 2 other names. The record is from RNAcentral.
GGACUACAGGGGUUUCUAAUCCCGUUUGCUCCCCUAGCUUUCGCGCCUCAGCGUCAGAAGAGGUCCAGCACGCCGCUUUCGCCACCGGAGUUCCUGAGGAUAUCAACGCAUUUCACCGCUCCACCCACAGUUCCGCAUGCCCCUACCUCCCUCGAGGCCGACAGUAUCUAAGGCAGUUCCACGGUUGAGCCGCGGCAUUUCACCCCAGACUUGUCAGCCCGCCUACGCGCCCUUUAAGCCCAGUGAUUCCGAACAACGUUCGCACGGUUCGUCUUACCGCGGCUGCUGGCAC